RNAcentral lists this ribosomal RNA (357 nucleotides) under Triticum aestivum (bread wheat). RNAcentral describes it as "partial small subunit ribosomal RNA". The record is from RNAcentral. Lineage: Eukaryota; Viridiplantae; Streptophyta; Magnoliopsida; Poales; Poaceae.
AUGACGGGCACCCCGGCCUGCCGCAGCGCGCUGGCCAUGUCGGUGAUGGCCAUGGUCUUGGACGGCCGCAGCGCGCUCACCCGCGGGCUGAUGGACGUGUCCACCGCCUCCGCCCUCACCGCCGCCAUCCUGAACCUCCCCGUGGACGCCCUGCGACCAGAGAAGCAAGCAAAAUCAAAUCUUUACCCCCAACGGCAGCGGACAGAUCAAUCGGGAUGGGCAGAGCUGCGGGGGGGCCGCCGCGACUCACUUGGAGAAGGAGAGGGAGCCUGCGCCCGGGGAGGGCUUGGUGGGGAGGGUGAAAGACGAGGAGGGGGAGGAGGAGGAAGGGGUGGAGAGGGAGGAGAACGCCAUUGA